AAAGGAUACAAUUUUUACUAUUCCAACGCCAGAGAAGGCACCAUGAGUGUUAUAAUGCUUCAUGCGGUAACCUGUGUUGCUCUGCUUACAGUGGCUUGGGGACUACCAUUUGCCUCUGAAGAAGAAGAUAAUGAAUUUUUAGGACUUAAAAGGAUACCCUACCCAGCCAAUUGGCAUGCAGCUACAGUGUCUGAACAGAUGAGUGAAUACUGGUCAUUACUGAAGACAUCAUCACAGUAUUCCAUGGACACGGUCAGGGACUACAUUAGUUUUUACAAGAAUAUGUUAUGGCAACCAGAAGAGCAUCAAGCUUGAUCAGUUUGUAGACAAAUGCUGUUAUGUUUAAUUGACAAGGAUCCAACAUAAAUGUCUUCAUCCUGUCCUGGAAUUGAUAAGGGUAUAUCCUGUGAAAAAAGUGCCCAGGCCUUCACCUACAAUCCUGUAUGAAAGAAAUUACUUUUAAAUUGUCAUGCAUAGGAUUCAUUGUCUAACAGGUCCUGCAUGGGAAAUAUACUCAUUGUCAUACGUAAAUCAAAAGUAGUUGUUAUCGUUUUUGAAUGUGAGGAAUGUCCUAGUGAAUGUAAUAUUGAUUUUGGAAUCUUGUUCAUGAACUGGAUUAUUCUUUAGGAAUUGUUCACCACAAAUUAGAUUUUUAACUUGAAAUUGUCCAUAUGCCAGAAGUAAUAUGGGAGUGUAAUAUUAACAAAGCACUGCUGCUUGCUUCUGCAUUGUUUAAUUGAGAAAUUGUGGGAUGUACACAACACAAACUUUACUAUCAUUUCAUUUAUAAUUCCUUCACUUUUGUGAACAUAUAAAAACCCAGUAACAUAUAUAUUGUACCACUUGGCCUGUCCAGAUGCCUGUAAUUCAAAGCAAGAAGGAAACUGUAUAUUCAAAACAUAUUAAUUCAUCAUUGGAUCUUCUUGACCUUAUCUUUCCAUGGUUUACCUUAUAACUUUUUAAAGUACCCUACGUGAAUUUCAUUCACCUUAUAUUUAUGCCUUUCCUGACAUACCAAAUUUUCCACUUCUGUAUAACAAAGUGAGCAAAAAUACCCUCUUACAUACAGCCAUUUUUGCUUCUUUCAAGGACCAUUAAUUCCAUACUACAGACCUCGAUAUUACCUUAGCUCCUAGGAAGGGAACUGUAUUAAACUAUGGAAGAAGAAAAAAAGGAUAUGGUACGUACAUGUUUUUAAAGACAUAAACCUUUCUGAUUUGCAGUUCACAACAAAUUUAAAAGAACUUUUAAAAAAUAUAUGUUGAAAAAUAUGCAACUAUAUUCCUGUUUUAUUCCCCUUUUCUCCAAGAUGUCCCUUGUCUUAAUAUUUCUUCAUCUAUUUUCCUCAUCUUUAGUGAAUAUUUUGUCAAGGUAUAUAUACGUUUAUCUACUUUUUCUAAUUUUAACAUGCAUGUAUAACUUUUAAUUGAUCACAUGUAUUUUCUCUGCCAAACAUGUUAUUUGUCAUUAACAAAUUCAUUUUUAGAUCCUUGUUUGUAUAACUCAAUGUAGUGUAUAUAAUGCUUCUGCCUUCUGUGUCCAACAACAAUACAUUGUGAGGUGGGUUGGGCUGAGACAGAGUGAUUGACCCAAAGUACUGAGCUGGCUGCUUUCUACUCACAAUUGCUGCUAAUCACAUGAAUCAACAAUUUGGCAACAUUUGCAUACAAAGUACAUGUACAUUCAUGUCCUCAAUCAAUCAAAUUCUAACACCUCCAGAAUAAUUUUUGUACGUUUAUAAGUUUCUUAAAUAGUCAAUGAGAUAUACACCACCUUAUCGUAUUCCCUAGUUAAUGUUGAAUCAUUCAUUAAGCAUUUUUCCCCCCUUAGGUACGCUAUUGUUCCAUUAUAUAUAACUCUUAAUACAUUCAGCAACUAACCUUUGUGCAAAUAUUGCCUAUUCAUUCCGUCAUAUGGUUUCUCUAAAUUAAUCAGUGUGCAACCUUUAUUUAUCUAGCUGGGAAUAUUAAUCUUUCAUGAAAAUAGAUGUCACAAAGCAGAAUCUAUAAAGUUUGAAAUAACACUGAAACAGCAGAGAAAUCAAACAAUUUCUUUGAAAAUUCAGAUACACACAGUAGGUACUCCACUAAGCAGGUGUUCAGUUUAAAAAAACGAAUGACAGAAUCCUCCUAAUUUUCAUCAGUGUGUGAUGUUUGCAUAAUCCUCUUGAACAGUUCUGGUAAACUAUUUCAAGAGCAAGUUACCUCAUUAAACAGAGAGGAAGAAUAGGAACAGGUAGAUUCCUUCCCUACCCUUCUGUCACUGUUCCCAUCACUCUCCAAGAACUGAGUAGUGUCCUAUAUCAUUUUCCAUGCAAGUCACAAUUCUAGAUAAUAAUUCCUUAAGACACCUGAUGGCCUAGUUAGUAUCUUCAAAUGUAUUUGUGUUUGCUAAUUCAUUAGCACAAUGUCAAGGAAAACUUGUUUUGCUGUGGACUAAGUGUGCAGUUUUAGAUCUCCUUUUAGCUGAGAACAAGAUAAUUUAGUAAGACUUCAUUUGAGCAGUUAUGAAUAGAUAAUUCUGACAGUUCAUGGCACAUCUUUCCCUUUAUCUGCAAAUAAGCCAACCUACCCUCUUUAUCCUAUUAUUUUUCUAUUAUUCCAUUAAUAUCCUUUUGUUUUUGUUUCAAAAAUGACACUAUUUUUGUGAACCAUAAUUUUCUAUUAACAAUAUUGUUAAUAUUAACAAUAAAAAGAUUUUAAGUGUCAUGAAAAUAAUUGCUUAAGUUUUUAUCAACAUACCUUAAUGGCAAAUCGAAUUUUUAUUCCAAGCAUUAUGGGGGCAUACACCGAUAUAGUGUACCCAGAAAUAAAAAAAGUAUAGCAGCUUCCCAAUGAGGAUAGUAGAGGGAAAUGCCAUGAAUUUUACUAAGAUGCAUAUAUGAAUAGUUGGAUCUAAGGAACAGCACUACAUUCUGUAUAUUCUUACACAUUAUCCUUUGCUAGACACUUAUACGACAUGUGCAUUCUUCCUAUUUUUAGUUAUGUAAAUAGUACUUUGAUUCCCUGGGCUCUAUUCAUAAGAAAAUAUCUGCCUAUCUAACACAAUUUCUGACUACUAGGAAGUAUAAGUAAGAAAUACAAAUACUGAUAGUUUAGAACAGCUAGUCUCAACCUUAUGAUACUUCCUCCUUCCUCUGAGGUAUGUUGGAGUUCAGUUCCAACAUAUCUAAAGGGCAGAAGGGUGGCCCAAUAGGUUUUUAAUCAGUCCAUUGCAAUCAGUCAAUUAAAAUAUUAUUUAAAAUACAUCUAAAUGAAAAUGGCAGCCCACAUUUUUUUCAUAUAUAUCUUUUCUUCCUGAAGCCCUCUAGACAAAGCAAAAGAUACUAUCUUCUUAAAAGAUAUGCCACCUCCUGCUGCUCAGUCCAACAGGCACAUGAAUAAUCUAAAAACAAAUAAAAAGCUGCUGCCUUCUUUAAAAUGAUUGAUAGUCUAAAGCUCACCUGGAACUUGGCCUAAACAGAUGCAGUUGGAAGAAAGAUAUGCUAUUCCUGCUUAAUGCCAGCCUCUCCUCCCCUUCUAAUGAUCUCUUUCGGUGGAAUUGUAAAUUAAUAGGAGGCUGGGAUCUGAUCUGUCAAGCACCAGGCACUUUGAGGACAUGUACAAAUGUAUGUCUAAUCCGUCAAAUAAGAUUUCUCUAACAGGACGACACGUAUUAAAAAAUAAGUUGUGCUGUUGAACAUAACUUGCCAUCUAAAUUUGGAGCAAGCAAUUUGAAACCUAGAGCUGCUGCUGGACACCUUCUGUUCACAACUGCCAAAAAGAUGGGACAGGAAACACAAAACUAUUAAUAAAGGCCAUGCUAUAGAUUUAUUGUGGCACAAAAACAAAAGACAAAAGUCUUGUUCCCUAUACCCAUGUAAACUUGGUGUCAGAUAAAUAAUGCCAGAUAAAUGGCACAUGUAACACCACUCCAGUGUGACAUGUACUAGUUACCACUGCGUUUCCAGGUGUAAUUCUGGGUGCAAUUGAAGGUGCUGGUGGUUAUCAAUAAAGCCUACAUGGCUUGGGACCAGGAUGACUGAAGGAUCACCAUUUUUCAAAGAGUCUCUAGCUGUCCCACUAGGUCAAACAGAAUGGGCAUACUGAAGAUCUCAUUAACCAAAGAAUGUCAGCUGGUGGAGACUAGAAAGUGAGGGUUUUUUUGCAGUGGCAGAGUUUUGUCCCUUUUCAGUAAUUAAAUAUAAAUUAUUGCUAUACACUUUGUAAAAAGAUAUAAGGGGAAUGUUUGAUUCUACUUGCAAACUGAAAGUAAUAUUCAAAAUCGCCUGAUCACAUGUACAGACACAUUCAUUCUAAUAGAUAGUGAUUUCUAAGUAAGCAAAGGCAGUAGCAAAAUCUCAAGUUUAUUAAAUGCCCUAUAUCUUGGGCAAAAUAAGUAAUAUAAUAAUCUCAUUUCCUUUCAAUCUUUGCAACCCAAAAUGAGGUUUUGAAAUUAUGAAUAACUGUCUAUCUUCACUAGCAUUCUGGUCAAAGGGCAGCUCUUUAAAACAAGAUGAGAUUUAUACACCAUAAUAACUCCGUAAUGAGAUUUAUUCAGGUUUCUGUAAAGUGUAACUAUCUUUUUGCUAAAACUAGACAGCACUAAUAAACCAGUGAGUUGAAAUAGUCUGCAUGGCAGCUGCUUGUCAGUUUCCCCAACAUAAUUUCCAGAUGUUUAGGAUUACAAUUUCUAUAAUCACAGCUAUACAGGUAGUCCUCAGCCACAACUGAGCGCAAAAUUUCUGAAAAAUUUGUUAAGUAACUUUUGCUCCAUUUUACGGCUUUUCUUGCCACAGUUGUUAAGUGAAUCAUUGCAGUUGAUAAGUUAGCAAUUUGGUUGUUAAGUGAAUCUGGCUUCCUCAUUGACUUUGCUUGUCAAGGUUGUAGGAAGUUAGCACCCACCCCUUUCCUAGAAGAAUGAAAUAUUUUAGGAAAUAUUAAAAAAGGCAGAUAAUUAUGUUUCCCUGGUUGAGAAAUGGAGAAACAUGUUUUAAAGACAAAGCAACUCCCACCUUCCUGCCUUCCCCCCUUUGUUAAUGGGCCAGAGGCAGAAACUCAAUCUUUGACAAUAGGACCCAUCUGCAACACAAUAGCAACAGAAACUCACCACAUGGCACCUGGGAAGAUUAAAUCAGCCAGCAAGGCUAGCUAAGACCCCCACCCCCUGGGAGUCUGACAACCAAUCAGGAUACUCUUUCGGGGCCCCAGGAAGUUCAAAGCCAGAGAGAGCAUAAAACCCCGGGGACUCGCUGUAUCUCGCCCCUUUUUCUGUUCAGGAACUCAAACCCGGGGGGGAUGACAUCAUCAUGGCCAGCCGGAAAUAACAAGUGGAUUAACUGUUUAGAUGCUGGUUGUAAAUACUCAAGUGAAUUAACUAUUUAGAUACUGGUUGUAAAUGCUCAAGUGAAGUAACUGUUUAGAUGCUGGUUGUAAAUACUCAAGAAUUAAACAUAAGCCAACUUCCGGGUCACAUGGGAGGGAGUGCGCCUGAUUGGGUGGGUGGUGAUAACUAAUGGUGGGAAGCACAGGGCAGUAGCCCUAACAGGAUUUUAAUCUGCGAUUGUCAGUGAGUGCCAAAAAGUGAUUAAACUAAGGUAGUAGCCAUUCAGGUUUGUCUCCUUUUAUUUCCUUCUGUUUGGAACCUGACAACUGACUAUUUCUGAUUUGUAAUAGUAUUAUUCUGUUUUGAUUAACUUACCAUCCCACUUUUAAAAAGAGGAGCCAAACUCAGAGAACAAAAUAGUGCAAGAUUUGACAACUGGGCAACUUCCAGUUGUGUGAGCCUCAGUUCCCAGAAUAUCAGCAAUGGCUUUGUUGACUGAGGAAUUCUGAGUCCACACAUCUGGAAAUUGGCAAGAUUGGGAUAGAUAGAAUGUUGUAUUUCCCUUUAUAUUGAAAAACUUACUUGUCUUUUCUUUAUAGAUUCUUGAACAAAUGGAAUGUUAACAUUAUCAGAGCAUAUAGAUUUGUAAGUGGAAAGAAAUAAUUAUUUUAGAGCAAUUUUGUUAAGGCUACCAUAUGUGAACUGCAAAAAGCCAAAGAGCCACGCACGAAGGGCUCGUUUCUGUAGCUCUUUGCUGCCAUCUAGCAGUAUUCAUCCUCAUGUUGGCAAAUUUAUCUUACUUCUUUACUGCUAAUCAUAAAUAGAAACUACAACAAAAUAAAUGAUAUUAAUAAUAUACCUUUAAUAUGCCUUUCUCUAUUCAAUACUUAGCUAUAAUCCUUUGCAUUUAAGAUGAAAUUUUCAGAAUAGGUACAAAAGCUAAUUUGUGCUAUUCCCCAAAUGGAAUGCAGGGCAGUUUGGAUAUGAAUGUAACAGGGAAUGGACUCUUCCAGGUUUAAGUUUUUUCUUGACAUUAACUGAUGUGUUUUGAUAUGUUCCUAAUUGCUUGCAGUCACAUGGAACCGACACAGCUGUUUUCCGCAACAUCAAAGAGGGGAAAAAGAGGAAUAUUUUGCUAUAUUUUAGAUUUAAAAAAGAGCAGAAGUUAACAUUAUGCUAAACAUAAUUAAACAAUUAAUUAAUGGCAAGUCAUGUGUGUCAUGCAAUGAAGCAAAACAUCUGGGCUGAAUGUCAAUAAGUCUUCAAUUGCAUAUUAAUCUUUAAAAUCCUCUGAAACAGUGUAUGCAUUUGAAUCCAGAAUUUUCUAGCCUUUUUACAUAGCCACCAAACAUAAUAAAAUGUUCCUUGUUGUUUUUCACAUUUCCAACAUAAAUUUCAAGAGUAAUUAAGAAUGCUUUAAUACUAGUUGUUAUUUUGGUUAGUAUCAUGAAGAAGAAAGUACAAGUGGAAAUGGAAUUCUUGAUAGGAUAUCUGCCCCCUAUCAUUGUUACACAUCAUUUAUUUUAUUAAUAUAUUCAGUUUUGUAUCAAUAUUUUUGUCUGGAGAAUUAGGAUUAAAAGGACAACUGUUAAAAUUACUAUGGUAUUAGAAAAGUAUCUCAUAUUUUCAGAAAUUAUUCUUAUAAUUAUUGAUUCUCUAAUACAGAAAUUAUACACCUACUAUUCUCUGGUGGGGAGCUAAAAAAAAACAACCAAUAAAAGAUAUUGUGUGUUGAUGGCA
Molecule: non-coding RNA, 7044 nt
Organism: Pantherophis guttatus
Lineage: Eukaryota; Metazoa; Chordata; Lepidosauria; Squamata; Colubridae
Source: RefSeq, a predicted model, not a curated record